ACCUCGUGCUCAUGGAGUGGCCGAUAUCUGAUUAGCUAGUUGGUGAGGUAAAGGCUCACCAAGGCGACGAUCAGUAGCUGGUUUGAGAGAACGACCAGCCACACUGGAACUGAGACACGGUCCAGACUCCUACGGGAGGCAGCAGUGGGGAAUUUUGGACAAUGGACGCAAGUCUGAUCCAGCCAUUCCGCGUGCAGGAUGAAGGCCCUCGGGUUGUAAACUGCUUUUGUACGGAACGAAAAGGUUUCUAUUAAUACUAGGAGCUCAUGACGGUACCGUAAGAAUAAGCACCGGCUAACUACGUG
This 305-nucleotide ribosomal RNA is filed under the name uncultured bacterium. RNAcentral's name for it is "bacterial SSU rRNA". It matches the Rfam family "Bacterial small subunit ribosomal RNA", at positions 210 to 507 of the family's 1533-position model. The record is from RNAcentral.